Molecule: long non-coding RNA, 2310 nt
Filed under: Sus scrofa (pig)
Lineage: Eukaryota; Metazoa; Chordata; Mammalia; Artiodactyla; Suidae
Description: lncRNA (ENSSSCG00055030965.1)
Source: RNAcentral
AUACUUCAGCAUGAGGAACACAUUUCUCUCUUCUCAGGGAACUUUAGUGGGGCUUCCAUAAAAUGAUUGGGGCUUGGAUCCUUGCAAAGAGAUAGGGGCUUCCAGGGCAGAAGGCAAAAGCAGCAGCAUCUAGGGGAGUUAUCUGGGAGUAGGGGAGGGUAUUUGGAGGAGGAGUUCCUGGAAGUAGUAUUCAGUAUGGGUGGAAACAAGCCAAGGAAAGGAUGUGGAUGGAUGAGCCCUGGGUAGUCUUGUCUGAAGUGAUAUGCAGUGAAGAGUUGGAGGAUAAGGCAUACACAGAAUUAUACAUGUCAGAGAAUAAUCAAAUGCCUCAGAGAAGGACAUGAGUUUAUUGGUUUGCUAGGCAACACCAGUGAAGAAAUUCACUGAAGAGAUGUCUUAGGUAUUUGCAAGUAAAGGGAGGUGGGAAUUCAUGGUGUUUAUGCUAAUUGAGGAUGAAAAGCAAGAACCCUGGAUAGGAGAGAAUGAGUCCAUUGGUCUCUAUACAUUUGGUUAAAAUAAGUUCUGCUUUCAUAGGUCAAGAAUGAGUCUUUAGUAAACCUUUGAGGAUUGAGGGAAAGGGAUCUCAAAGUUCACGGUGCUUUAACUGUUUCAGCCAGUUAGAUGAAUUGCAGUAAGGCAGCAUUUGGUUUCUGUAGCUCCCAGGCAAGUUCCUUAGUCACUGGAACAUUUUCCUUUUACAAAAAUAAUGUGGGGUGACAGAUCUACCUCAGAAGCCAUGAUAAGGGGUGUGUUAACAUGUUGGCAACUAGAAGCCCCUGAAAUGCUCCAGGAAGAGAAUGGCACAGACAGAUUUCUACCCAGGGGGCUGGGGGUACCCUGGCAGCCCUGCAGAGGGGGGUCCUGAGGGGGAUCAGAGAGUUGACUAUCCAUAUCUCUUCUAAAAAGAAAUCAAUUUAGUUUUAUGAAAAGACACUAAUACAUAAAAAAUGAAGAAGACGAAGUCCCUGCCUUUCCAGAAAAGUGUUAACAUUUUGAAUGUUUGGAUGAGCUUGGUGUGAAGAGGUGAGGCUGUUUUAAAAUCCGUCCUGGUUGGUGCUCCCUGAGCUUUAGGAAAGCCUGAAGGAGGCUCUGCUGGGAAUGGCAAUUAACAGUCUAGGCACAUGGUAGGAGCCAAUGCAUGCAAAUGAAAAACAAACAAACCUGAAAGUGGGAUGGAGAGAAGGAGGUACAGGGGGGAGGGACAGAGAGCAGAUGAAACAGUGAACCCACCCAUCCGAUGAAUUCUUCUCUGCUCUCAUUUCCAAACUGCACAGGCUUGGCUGAGCAUGCACCUUACUUGUUAAUCUCAUUUUUGCAUCCCUGUUUUUGUGGCUGUCAGAACUCCAUAUUAUGCAAAUUGGGUUUAAGCAAUUAAGGCAAUAAUGUUUCCCUUGAAGAGUUUGACAAGGUAGUGGGAGCUUGGACUGAAUUUUAUAGACAGGAGCUUGGAUGUUUAUUUACCUACAAAUAGAGGAGGAACAAGAAAAGGGAAAACACUGCAGCACCAGUCAUACCUGAGCUGUGCUGCUGACUUUCUUGCUUUUCUUCUGUUGUUUCACAGGAGAACAAAGGGUCACUGCACGGCAUUAGCAGGUGGUAAAUUUAGAAUAGAUGAACACGUUUCACAAGACAUAGAAUUAACCUGUUGAAUUUACUGCUACAGAAGGCCACGGAAUCAAGUCUUCUGGCAGAUUUUAAAAGAGCUGGGUGAUUUCAUGACAAAUAAUAGUUGAAGUCAGUGGGAUGCUGUCUCCUAUUUGGGGUCACAAGCUGAUUGUCUUGCAGCUACAGAGAAGCAAGGCCAGAAAGCUGGACUUUGUCCUCAACAAACCAAAUUGCCCAGUAGAUGAGAAUGUCACAAUAAUUUUCCUCUGAAAAAUCCACUGUCAUUAGGAAACCAGAUAUGAUGCAUCAGACUCUUAAAUGGGGAUAGCACAUUUCACAUUUCUGUACUUAGGGGAACAACACCCAGAUGAUGCUGUGCUCAGCUUGAGCAUGUGGCUGAAAAAACCCCUCUUAUAGAUUGCCAGAAAUAGUUUUAGAAAUAUCCUUUACUAAAGUCCCUAUGUAUGAUUAUGUCUUUCUCCUCUUUCUUAAUCAUUCUGUUAGUAUAUCAUUCACUCCCAGUUCCUGAUACAUGCCUUUUUAAUUUCCCUCAUAUGGAAACCUAUAUCAUUUUUCCAAGAUUCCUCCCUCCAAAAAUACAAUCCUUAUCACCCAAAAUCAACAUUCAUACUCUCACUUUUUUUUAAUUCUCUGAAUUUCUGAGUACAUAUAGUCAAUGGUUGCUGGUACCACUUCCAUACAUUC